RNAcentral lists this ribosomal RNA (301 nucleotides) under uncultured bacterium. RNAcentral describes it as "partial 16S ribosomal RNA". It matches the Rfam family "Bacterial small subunit ribosomal RNA", at positions 509 to 807 of the family's 1533-position model. The record is from RNAcentral.
CAGUAGCCGCGGUAAAACGGAGGGGGCUAGCGUUGUUCGGAAUUACUGGGCGUAAAGCGCACGUAGGCGGCUUGGUAAGUUAGAGGUGAAAGCCCGGAGCUCAACUCCGGAAUUGCCUUUAAGACUGCCGAGCUAGCAGGUGAGAGAGGUAAGUGGAAUUCCGAGUGUAGAGGUGAAAUUCGUAGAUAUUCGGAAGAACACCAGUGGCGAAGGCGGCUUACUGGCUCAUACUGGACGCUGAGGUGCGAAAGCGUGGGGAGCAAACAGGAUUAGAUACCCGUGUAGUCCCUGUCUCUUAUAC